UCUGGGAGUAAACGGGUGGUACCCGAAAGUUCGAAAGGGGAGAUUCAAGUUUCGCCGCGCGCUGGGCGGUGGACGCGAGAAGAGAUGUUGUUUUCGCGGUUGAAGGUUAGCCUUUGAUCCGGAAGCAUCACUCCGCGGCCAUCGUAAAAUCCCGGCGUCGGAGUGACGCACUUCUCCCCGAGUAGGACGUCGCGACCCGUCGAAAGCCGGCCUAAGAUUAAGGGGAGAGUCUGUGCAUCCUGUUUCGGCCGGGUGCGCAUGAUCUCUUAAAUUCCGGCCGGUUGAACGACGGUAGGAAACAUGGAAGGAGUCGACGCGCCACAAAAUAUUAUUACGUUGGCGUCCGGCCCUCCGCAAGCGCCCGUGGGGGUUCGGGUUGCGGGCCCGGCCCGAUUCCGAUCCCACCACGGGGCUGUUUGCGAUUACGGAGGUGUCCUCGGACGGCGUUGAUUCUCCAGUCAGCGACGCUUCAGCUUGGAUGGCCUACCCGACCC
This 494-nucleotide ribosomal RNA is filed under the name Cyanogomphus waltheri. RNAcentral's name for it is "eukaryotic LSU rRNA". The record is from RNAcentral. Lineage: Eukaryota; Metazoa; Arthropoda; Insecta; Odonata; Gomphidae.